ACGGGGAUGCCUUAGUACGGCGAGUGAAGCGGCAAAAGCUCAAAUUUGAAAUCUGGUACCUUCGGUGCCCGAGUUGUAAUUUGGAGAGGGCAACUUUGGGGCCGUUCCUUGUCUAUGUUCCUUGGAACAGGACGUCAUAGAGGGUGAGAAUCCCGUGUGGCGAGGAGUGCGGUUCUUUGUAAAGUGCCUUCGAAGAGUCGAGUUGUUUGGGAAUGCAGCUCUAAGUGGGUGGUAAAUUCCAUCUAAAGCUAAAUAUUGGCGAGAGACCGAUAGCGAACAAGUACAGUGAUGGAAAGAUGAAAAGAACUUUGAAAAGAGAGUGAAAAAGUACGUGAAAUUGUUGAAAGGGAAGGGCAUUUGAUCAGACAUGGUGUUUUGUGCCCUCUGCUCCUUGUGGGUAGGGGAAUCUCGCAUUUCACUGGGCCAGCAUCAGUUUUGGUGGCAGGAUAAAUCCAUAGGAAUGUAGCUUGCCUCGGUAAGUAUUAUAGCCUGUGGGAAUACUGCCAGCUGGGACUGAGGACUGCGACGUAAGUCAAGGAUGCUGGCAUAAUGGUUAUAUGCCGCCCGUCUUAA
This 573-nucleotide ribosomal RNA is filed under the name Saccharomyces cerevisiae (brewer's yeast). RNAcentral describes it as "eukaryotic LSU rRNA". It matches the Rfam family "Eukaryotic large subunit ribosomal RNA", at positions 68 to 657 of the family's 3401-position model. Lineage: Eukaryota; Fungi; Ascomycota; Saccharomycetes; Saccharomycetales; Saccharomycetaceae. The record is from RNAcentral.